Molecule: ribosomal RNA, 729 nt
Filed under: uncultured bacterium
Lineage: Bacteria
Description: bacterial SSU rRNA
Rfam family: Bacterial small subunit ribosomal RNA
Source: RNAcentral
UAACGCGUGGGCAACCUGCCCUCCAGUUGGGGACAACAUUCCGAAAGGGAUGCUAAUACCGAAUGUGCUCCCUCCUCCGCAUGGAGGAGGGAGGAAAGAUGGCCUCUGCUUGCAAGCUAUCGCUGGAAGAUGGGCCCGCGUCUGAUUAGCUAGUUGGUGGGGUAACGGCUCACCAAGGCGAUGAUCAGUAGCCGGUCUGAGAGGAUGAACGGCCACAUUGGGACUGAGACACGGCCCAAACUCCUACGGGAGGCAGCAGUGGGGAAUCUUCCGCAAUGGACGAAAGUCUGACGGAGCAACGCCGCGUGAGUGAUGAAGGUCUUCGGAUUGUAAAACUCUGUUGUUAGGGACGAAAGCACCGUGUUCGAACAGGUCAUGGUGUUGACGGUACCUAACGAGGAAGCCACGGCUAACUACGUGCCAGCAGCCGCGGUAAUACGUAGGUGGCAAGCGUUGUCCGGAAUUAUUGGGCGUAAAGAGCAUGUAGGCGGGCUUUUAAGUCUGACGUGAAAAUGCGGGGCUUAACCCCGUAUGGCGUUGGAUACUGGAAGUCUUGAGUGCAGGAGAGGAAAGGGGAAUUCCCAGUGUAGCGGUGAAAUGCGUAGAUAUUGGGAGGAACACCAGUGGCGAAGGCGCCUUUCUGGACUGUGUCUGACGCUGAGAUGCGAAAGCCAGGGUAGCAAACGGGAUUAGAUACCCCGGUAGUCCUGGCCGUAAACGAUGGAUACU